This 897-nucleotide ribosomal RNA is filed under the name uncultured Chitinophaga sp. RNAcentral describes it as "bacterial SSU rRNA". It matches the Rfam family "Bacterial small subunit ribosomal RNA", at positions 56 to 943 of the family's 1533-position model. The record is from RNAcentral. Lineage: Bacteria; Pseudomonadati; Bacteroidota; Chitinophagia; Chitinophagales; Chitinophagaceae.
UGCAAGUCGAGGGGCAGCAUGACUGUAGCAAUACAGUUGAUGGCGACCGGCAAACGGGUGCGGAACACGUACGCAACCUACCCAAAACUGGGGAAUAGCCCGGGGAAACCCGGAUUAAUACCUCGUAACAUAAUUGAAUGGCAUCAUUUAAUUAUUAUAGCUCCGGCGGUUCUGGAUGGGCGUGCGCCUGAUUAGAUAGUUGGCGGGGUAACGGCCCACCAAGUCUGCGAUCAGUAACUGGUGUGAGAGCACGACCAGUCACACGGGCACUGAGACACGGGCCCGACUCCUACGGGAGGCAGCAGUAAGGAAUAUUGGUCAAUGGACGCAAGUCUGAACCAGCCAUGCCGCGUGAAGGAUGAAGGUCCUCUGGAUUGUAAACUUCUUUUAUAUGGGACGAAACCUCUUUUUCUAAAGAGACUGACGGUACCAUAAGAAUAAGCACCGGCUAACUCCGUGCCAGCAGCCGCGGUAAUACGGAGGGUGCAAGCGUUAUCCGGAUUCACUGGGUUUAAAGGGUGCGUAGGAGGGCAGGUAAGUCAGUGGUGAAAUCUCCAAGCUUAACUUGGAAACUGCCGUUGAUACUAUCUGUCUUGAAUAUUGUGGAGGUGAGCGGAAUAUGUCAUGUAGCGGUGAAAUGCUUAGAUAUGACAUAGAACACCAAUUGCGAAGGCAGCUUCGCUACCACAUAUAUGGACUCUGAGGCACGAAAGCGUGGGGAAUCAAACAGGAUUAGAUACCCUGGUAGUCCACGCCCUAAACGAUGGAUACCUCGACAUAUGCAAUAAACUGGUGUGUGUCUGACCGAAAGCAUUAAGUAUCCCACCUGGGAAGUACGACCGCAAGGUUGAAACUCAAAGGAAUUGGCGGGGGUCCGCACAAGCGGUGGAACAUGUG